UUCCAGCCAUGAGCUGCUUUAGGGAC
This 26-nucleotide non-coding RNA is filed under the name Rattus norvegicus (Norway rat). Lineage: Eukaryota; Metazoa; Chordata; Mammalia; Rodentia; Muridae. The record is from RNAcentral.